UACAGAGGUGGCAAGCGUUGUUCGGAAUUACUGGGCGUAAAGGGUUCGUAGGUGGCCAACUAAGUCAGACGUGAAAUCCCUCAGCUUAACUGGGGAACUGCGUCUGAGACUGGAUGGCUUGAGUGCAGGAGAGGAACGCGGAAUUCCAGGUGUAGCGGUGAAAUGCGUAGAUAUCUGGAGGAACACCGGUGGCGAAGGCGGCGUUCUGGACUGCAACUGACACUGAGGAACGAAAGCCAGGGGAGCAAACGGG
Molecule: ribosomal RNA, 253 nt
Filed under: uncultured bacterium
Lineage: Bacteria
Description: partial 16S ribosomal RNA
Rfam family: Bacterial small subunit ribosomal RNA
Source: RNAcentral